AGACGAACCGUACGAACGUUACUCGGAAUCACUGGGCUUAAAGGGUGCGUAGGCUGUCCGGUAAGUUGGGUGUGAAAGCCCUCGGCUCAACCGAGGAAUAGCGCCCAAAACUGUCGGACUUGAGGGAGACAGAGGUAAGCGGAACUUAGGGUGGAGCGGUGAAAUGCGUUGAUAUCCUAAGGAACACCAGUGGCGAAAGCGGCUUACUGGGUCUCUUCUGACGCUGAGGCACGAAAGCUAGGGGAGC
RNAcentral lists this ribosomal RNA (247 nucleotides) under uncultured bacterium. RNAcentral describes it as "partial 16S ribosomal RNA". It matches the Rfam family "Bacterial small subunit ribosomal RNA", at positions 523 to 769 of the family's 1533-position model. The record is from RNAcentral.